Molecule: long non-coding RNA, 1967 nt
Filed under: Rattus norvegicus (Norway rat)
Lineage: Eukaryota; Metazoa; Chordata; Mammalia; Rodentia; Muridae
Description: long non-coding RNA NONRATT003106
Source: RNAcentral
UUUUAAUCAUCUGUUGCUGAGAAAGCAGAGAAAGGAACAGUCAGGGAGGGACUCUGGGUUCUCUGUGCAGUAGUUUUGUUUUACUGAGAGACUCUCAGUGAGGUGUACAGUUUGUAGUUAACACUUCUGGGAUACAGAAAAGCCUCUGUUCACUCAGCCUCAGACAGGCUUGCUGAGAACUGGGUGGAUGAGCAGUGGCUGGGAGCCAAAUUGCCCCUCAGGUAAGCUAGCUUUGUGACUUGGGUGAUGGGUGAUGUGGGGAGGUGCGAUAUGUGGGUGCCAUUUUGAAAUUCUGCAAUGUUUAAGCAUUACUACACAGAAUAUGUUGAAAAUUGCUUACUUUGGGCAAGUGACUUUUUGAGUUUCUAUGGUAUUUCUUUAGUAACUUAUUAGCAAGCUGGUAUGAGAUAAAAAGUUACUUUACUGAAUUCUUUCCCCUAGUCUUCCUUGCCAUACUUGAAUGUAUCAUUCUUAAUGACACUUUGCUGUACUUCUGGGGGUUGCCUCAGCAACUCUCUCUUCACUGGCAGAUGUGCCAACAUGUAUGUUGGGUCCAGAAGUCUGUAUGUACCCAUCUUAUAAAGAAGUCUCCAGAGCUGGCUGAAAUUCCAAAUUUCAGCCAAAGCUUUGGGCCAAGGGAAAGAUAGUAGAAAAUGUGCAAAGCAGUACUGUUCAUGUUAGAUGGAUGGAUACAGUGAAGAAUUAAGCCUCACACAGAAUUAGCUUGAAACAGUACUGUCACCUAGGGUCUGGUCUCUAGGCUAGAUCAGGUUAUGGGACCCUAUAAAUUAUGUAAUUAGACUAUACAUUGGUGGGAAGUUGCUAAGAUAAAGACUUGCUCAAAAGACUAACAGCAAAAGAUGUGUGUAUUGAAAUGUAUAGUUUGCUGUAGUUCAAGUGGAGUCUUCAGUGCAGCAGGUAGACCUAGUUAUACAGUUAUGUAUGGAAUGGAAAGCAAACUACUGUUAAACGGUUUUUGUCUCUCCCCUGCCACCUUCUUUAGAUUUCUUAAUCUCCUGUGUGUGUCAGGAUGGCUAGUGAUGACCUGAACAUCUAUAACUGACAAAGGUCUACUUGGGGGACUAAAGCAGUAUUUAGCUUAAAUAUGUGAAAGAACAAAAUUAUCAAAAGAUGUUGAUUAGGAUUAUUUAAGGUCAUGUGACAUUGAUCUUUUCUUCUACGUCAUGGUUCUUGCCACACUCCUAUUCUGAGUUUAUUUUUUUGGUAAGCUGUAGUUGUAGCCCAUAACAGUUUGACCUGGCCUAGGACUACAUGCUGGGGAUGCUCAUCAGGACCUCCCCCCCCCCCCUUUUUUUUUUUUCAAAGAAGGAUGCUUGAGCAUUGGGCACAGAUGCUGAGGUGGUUUGACUAGCUGAAGUUCUGAUUCGGGUGUUGGGGCAUCAUAUUCUGUUUCUCUUGGGAACCCAGCCUGCUCUCAUAGAUACCUACUUCUAUCACAUACCCUGAGCAUUGCCAAAAGAAGCCAUUCAGCAGCUGCUGUUUUUCUCUCAGCACAAAUAUAUUUGCUACAGAAGAACUAUCUUUUCUCUAAUACUAAUUCCCCGUCCAGUCCUCAGAAUCUGAUUAACUGUUCUUCCCUGCUGCACUGAAUAUGUUCGAGAUUUUAAAGAGGGAAUUUGAAGCAAUAGGCAAACAGGGCUUGGUUGAAUUGGUCUUGCAUAUAUCCUGUCUUAAGCCAAUGAGGUGAUGAGUCCACUGCUCAUGUGACCCUGCACCUUUGUGGAUCCUUCUUGGUUUGUGACCAGUGUACGUUUCUUGAGGUUGUACAAACUUGACAAAAGUUAAUACUUUUGUAUUCUCUGCACUGUUGCACUCUUCAAAUAGCCCCCUGAAUAUUACCUUGAUAUACACAUUUUUGUCUUUGAUGUCUACAGUAUUUUUCUUUUUUUUUUAAAUUUGAAGGUUAUCUGCUGUUGGAUUCAAUAAAUUUGUUUACCUAACUAUUG